GUCUAUGGCCAUACCGCCCUGAACGCGCCCAAUCUCAUCUGAUCUCAGAAGCCAAGCAGGGUCGGGCCUGGUUAGUACUUGGAUGGGAGACAGAGCUGGGUGGGAUGCCUUGUUGAAUCCUGGGUUGGUGGAUG
Ochotona princeps (American pika) is the source of this 134-nucleotide ribosomal RNA. The record is from Ensembl. NCBI's taxonomy places the organism in Eukaryota, Metazoa, Chordata, Mammalia, Lagomorpha, Ochotonidae.